AUUGAACGCUGGCGGCAUGCUUUACACAUGCAAGUCGAACGGUAACAGGGAGCUUGCUCCGCUGACGAGUGGCGAACGGGUGAGUAAUGCGUCGGAACGUGCCGAGUAGUGGGGGAUAACGCAGCGAAAGUUGUGCUAAUACCGCAUACGUACUGAGGUAGAAAGUGGGGGACCUUCGGGCCUCACGCUAUUCGAGCGGCCGACGUCUGAUUAGCUAGUAGGUGAGGUAAAGGCUCACCUAGGCGACGAUCAGUAGCGGGUCUGAGAGGAUGAGCCGCAAACCUGGGACUGAGACACGGCCCAGACGGCUACGGGAGGCAGCAGUGGGGAAGUUUGGACAAUGGGCGAAAGCCUGAUCCAGCCAUGCCGCGUGUCUGAAGAAGGCCUUCGGGUUGUAAAGGACUUUUGUCGGGGAGGAAAUCCUUUGAGUUAAUACCUCGGGGGGAUGACGGUACCUGAAGAAUAAGCACCGGCUAACUACGUGCCAGCAGCCGCCGCCG
RNAcentral lists this ribosomal RNA (500 nucleotides) under uncultured bacterium. RNAcentral describes it as "partial 16S ribosomal RNA". It matches the Rfam family "Bacterial small subunit ribosomal RNA", at positions 29 to 523 of the family's 1533-position model. The record is from RNAcentral.